UAAUGGGAUCAGGCCAAAAAAAAACGAUUAAGAGGUUUUUAUAUGCUGUAAGGUCCGGAGUUCUCCUGGCUUUGGAACCCUCUACCUCCCCCGUAACCGUGGGAUAUUCUUUUGAUGCCAAAGGAAAAGGCCACAGAUCUGUAGAUGGAUCAUAGGAUGGACUCAGGAUCCAGAUAAAAUUAUAAGACGGAAUCACUUCUCGGAUGGCCUUAUUCUGUCUCCCAGAUAUCUUGUCACUUGAAAGGACCUCUGACCUCGUCACCAUGGAGGAAGAAUAAGAAGAGGACAGGCAGGAUUACAUUCAGAGAAUUGUGUAGAGCUUCCAGAUCCUGAACUGUUCCUUGAAAAAAACAAACAAGCAAACAUUAAAACAACAACAGUAUUCUCCUAGUGAUUCUGUAUGACUAUGAGUCAUGGAGGAAGAGAAUCUUUGAAGGAUCAAAAUCGAGGGGGAACUAAAAAGCCAUGGAGAGACAUGUGGAGUCAUUCUACAGUAGAGCCUAUGAGAGAACAGAAGGCAAAUCCUUACAAAGAUGUGACGCUCUUCUUUUAUCCUCAGGAAAGGGUCUUCUCCACACUCUUCAAUGUAAGAAAGAACAUUAUUAAUCUCAUGAGCUGCACUGUACCUAUGCCAACUGACUUUCAAAUGUAAUUCAUAUUAGAAACUAGAAAGGGUAAUCAUAUUUAGAGGAUCUUUUAUGAAAAUGCUUCAGACAAAUUAAAAAUCUCUCAAGA
Long non-coding RNA from Phascolarctos cinereus (koala), 735 nucleotides. RefSeq lists it as uncharacterized. The record is from RefSeq and is a predicted model, not a curated record. Lineage: Eukaryota; Metazoa; Chordata; Mammalia; Diprotodontia; Phascolarctidae.